This 680-nucleotide ribosomal RNA is filed under the name Micromonospora tulbaghiae. Its description in RNAcentral is "bacterial SSU rRNA". It matches the Rfam family "Bacterial small subunit ribosomal RNA", at positions 99 to 794 of the family's 1533-position model. Lineage: Bacteria; Bacillati; Actinomycetota; Actinomycetes; Micromonosporales; Micromonosporaceae. The record is from RNAcentral.
CGAACGGGUGAGUAACACGUGAGCAACCUGCCCCAGGCUUUGGGAUAACCCCGGGAAACCGGGGCUAAUACCGAAUAUGACCUCCGAUCGCAUGGUUGGUGGUGGAAAGUUUUUCGGCUUGGGAUGGGCUCGCGGCCUAUCAGCUUGUUGGUGGGGUGAUGGCCUACCAAGGCGACGACGGGUAGCCGGCCUGAGAGGGCGACCGGCCACACUGGGACUGAGACACGGCCCAGACUCCUACGGGAGGCAGCAGUGGGGAAUAUUGCACAAUGGGCGGAAGCCUGAUGCAGCGACGCCGCGUGAGGGAUGACGGCCUUCGGGUUGUAAACCUCUUUCAGCAGGGACGAAGCGUAAGUGACGGUACCUGCAGAAGAAGCGCCGGCCAACUACGUGCCAGCAGCCGCGGUAAGACGUAGGGCGCGAGCGUUGUCCGGAUUUAUUGGGCGUAAAGAGCUCGUAGGCGGCUUGUCGCGUCGACUGUGAAAACCCGCAGCUCAACUGCGGGCCUGCAGUCGAUACGGGCAGGCUAGAGUUCGGUAGGGGAGACUGGAAUUCCUGGUGUAGCGGUGAAAUGCGCAGAUAUCAGGAGGAACACCGGUGGCGAAGGCGGGUCUCUGGGCCGAUACUGACGCUGAGGAGCGAAAGCGUGGGGAGCGAACAGGAUUAGAUACCCUGGUAGU